CAGUAGCCGCGGUAAUGCGUAGGUGGCAAGCGUUGUCCGGAAUUAUUGGGCGUAAAGGGCUCGCAGGCGGUUUCUUAAGUCUGACGUGAAAGCCCCCGGCUCAACCGGGGAGGGUCAUUGGAAACUGGGAAACUUGAGUGCAGAAGAGGAGAGUGGAAUUCCACGUGUAGCGGUGAAAUGCGUAGAGAUGUGGAGGAACACCAGUGGCGAAGGCGACUCUCUGGUCUGUAACUGACGCUGAGGAGCGAAAGCGUGGGGAGCGAACAGGAUUAGAUACCCGAGUAGUCCCUGUCUCUUAUAC
Molecule: ribosomal RNA, 301 nt
Filed under: uncultured bacterium
Lineage: Bacteria
Description: partial 16S ribosomal RNA
Rfam family: Bacterial small subunit ribosomal RNA
Source: RNAcentral